This 521-nucleotide ribosomal RNA is filed under the name uncultured Bacillus sp. Its description in RNAcentral is "bacterial SSU rRNA". It matches the Rfam family "Bacterial small subunit ribosomal RNA", at positions 33 to 507 of the family's 1533-position model. Lineage: Bacteria; Bacillati; Bacillota; Bacilli; Caryophanales; Bacillaceae. The record is from RNAcentral.
AGUAGUUUCGACUCCGUCGCGUACAGGACACGCUGGCGGCGUGCCUAAUACAUGCAAGUCGAGCGGACAGAUGGGAGCUUGCUCCCUGAUGUUAGCGGCGGACGGGUGAGUAACACGUGGGUAACCUGCCUGUAAGACUGGGAUAACUCCGGGAAACCGGGGCUAAUACCGGAUGGUUGUUUGAACCGCAUGGUUCAAACAUAAAAGGUGGCUUCGGCUACCACUUACAGAUGGACCCGCGGCGCAUUAGCUAGUUGGUGAGGUAACGGCUCACCAAGGCAACGAUGCGUAGCCGACCUGAGAGGGUGAUCGGCCACACUGGGACUGAGACACGGCCCAGACUCCUACGGGAGGCAGCAGUAGGGAAUCUUCCGCAAUGGACGAAAGUCUGACGGAGCAGCGCCGCGUGAGUGAUGAAGGUUUUCGGAUCGUAAAGCUCUGUUGUUAGGGAAGAACAAGUACCGUUCGAAUAGGGCGGUACCUUGACGGUACCUAACCAGAAAGCCACGGCUAACUACGUG